Molecule: long non-coding RNA, 207 nt
Filed under: Bos taurus (domestic cattle)
Lineage: Eukaryota; Metazoa; Chordata; Mammalia; Artiodactyla; Bovidae
Description: long non-coding RNA NONBTAT006067
Source: RNAcentral
UUCAGAUAGGUUUGAGAGGCUUUUACCCUUUGGCUCGGUUCCAGCUUAUUAAAUAUAUUUUAUUUAUUAUUUUGUAAUCUCCCUAGGGUUUUUGCAAGUGAUUAAUUAUUUGAAUUCUAUUUUUCCCAAGUGUAGGAAGAAAGUACGUAUCUAGAGAGUAAGGCAAACAAUGCCUCAUGGGACAGGUGCCACGACAUGCCGCAAGAA